GCCGGGGUGGCCGAGCGGCCCAAGGCGCGGGACUUGAGAUCCCGUCCCCGUUCAGGGGGCGUGGGUUCAAAUCCCACCCCCGGCGCCA
Molecule: transfer RNA, 88 nt
Filed under: Pyrobaculum arsenaticum
Lineage: Archaea; Thermoproteati; Thermoproteota; Thermoprotei; Thermoproteales; Thermoproteaceae
Also listed under: 2 other names
Description: tRNA-Ser
Rfam family: tRNA
About the family: Transfer RNA (tRNA) molecules are approximately 80 nucleotides in length. Their secondary structure includes four short double-helical elements and three loops (D, anti-codon, and T loops). Further hydrogen bonds mediate the characteristic L-shaped molecular structure. tRNAs have two regions of fundamental functional importance: the anti-codon, which is responsible for specific mRNA codon recognition, and the 3' end, to which the tRNAs corresponding amino acid is attached (by aminoacyl-tRNA synthetases). tRNAs cope with the degeneracy of the genetic code in two manners: having more than one tRNA (with a specific anti-codon) for a particular amino acid; and 'wobble' base-pairing, i.e. permitting non-standard base-pairing at the 3rd anti-codon position.
Source: RNAcentral